GGAUGAGGAGGAGGAAAAGAAGAAGAAGAAGAAGAAGAAGAAGAAGAAGAAGAAGAAGAAGAACUUCUUCUUCUUCUUCUUCUUCUUCUUCUUCUUCUUCUUUUUCCUCUCUCUCU
RNAcentral lists this microRNA precursor (116 nucleotides) under Marmota monax (woodchuck). Lineage: Eukaryota; Metazoa; Chordata; Mammalia; Rodentia; Sciuridae. The record is from RNAcentral.